Molecule: ribosomal RNA, 657 nt
Filed under: uncultured bacterium
Lineage: Bacteria
Description: bacterial SSU rRNA
Rfam family: Bacterial small subunit ribosomal RNA
Source: RNAcentral
UGGUGAGCGGCGAACGGGUGAGUAACACGUAGGUGAUCUGCCCAUCAGACGGGGACAACGAUUGGAAACGAUCGCUAAUACCGGAUAGGACGAAAGUUUAAAGGUGCUUCUGGCACCGCUGAUGGAUGAGCCUGCGGCGCAUUAGCUAGUGGGUAGGGUAAAGGCCUACCAAGGCGACGAUGCGUAGCCGACCUGAGAGGGUGAACGGCCACACUGGGACUGAGACACGGCCCAGACUCCUACGGGAGGCAGCAGUAGGGAAUCUUCGGCAAUGGGCGAAAGCCUGACCGAGCAACGCCGCGUGAAUGAUGAAGGCCUUCGGGUUGUAAAAUUCUGUUAUAAGGGAAGAACGACUUUAGUAGGAAAUGGCUAGAGUGUGACGGUACCUUAUGAGAAAGCCACGGCUAACUACGUGCCAGCAGCCGCGGUAAUACGUAGGUGGCGAGCGUUAUCCGGAAUUAUUGGGCGUAAAGAGCGCGCAGGUGGUUGAUUAAGUCUGAUGCGAAAGCCCACGGCUUAACCGUGGAGGGUCAUUGGAAACUGGUCGACUUGAGUGCAGAAGAGGGAAGUGGAAUUCCAUGUGUAGCGGUGAAAUGCGUAGAGAUAUGGAGGAACACCAGUGGCGAAGGCGGCUUCCUGGUCUGUAACUGACACUGA